Molecule: ribosomal RNA, 465 nt
Filed under: uncultured bacterium
Lineage: Bacteria
Description: partial 16S ribosomal RNA
Rfam family: Bacterial small subunit ribosomal RNA
Source: RNAcentral
GACGAACGCUGGCGGCGUGCUUAACACAUGCAAGUCGAACGGAAAGGCCCCUUUGGGGGUCCUCGAGUGGCGAACGGGUGAGUAACACGUGAGUAACCUGCCCUUGACUUCGGGAUAACUUCAGGAAACUGGGGCUAAUACCGGAUAGGAAUCCUUGCUUCAUGGUGGGGGUUGGAAAGCUUCGGCGGUUUUGGAUGGACUCGCGGCUUAUCAGCUUGUUGGUGGGGUAGUGGCUUACCAAGGCUUUGACGGGUAGCCGGCCUGAGAGGGCGACCGGCCACAUUGGGACUGAGAUACGGCCCAGACUCCUACGGGGGGGAGCAGUGGGGAAUAUUGCCAAAUGGGCGGAAGCCUGAUGAAGCAACGCCGCGUGCGGGAUGACGGCCUUCGGGUUGUAAACCGCUUUCAGCAGGGGCGAAGCUUGUGGUGACGGUACCUGCAGAAGAAGCACCGGCUAACUACGUG